UCCCACUCCUCAAAUGUUUCUUUUAGUACUUGUUUGUUCCUUUGAAGUUUCCUCCUUUUUAACUCCCCAUCCUUCCCUUCAGUCUUGUCAGCUUCAGGUGGUUCCUCUCUCAAUAGAUCUUCUUCAAAAUUCGUGUCGCCAGAUACAGGUACUGUAAGAUUUCCUGUAUAAGUUAUUCCUUCAUCAAUGGCAACUGAAGAUGCAUCACCAAUCAUCAAUGAUGGUUUGUAGCCAGAUAUAGGUACUGUAAGAUUUCCUGUAUAAGUUAUUCCUUCAUCAAUGGCAACUGAAGAUGCAUCACCGGUCAUCAAUGAUGGUUUGUCAACUGUUAUUGCACGAGAAAUUAUACUUUUGGUUCCCUUUUCAUUCUCAACCAAUGUUGACUGUUCU
This 390-nucleotide long non-coding RNA is filed under the name Musa acuminata (dwarf banana). Its description in RNAcentral is "long non-coding RNA (MACU_LNC006127)". Lineage: Eukaryota; Viridiplantae; Streptophyta; Magnoliopsida; Zingiberales; Musaceae. The record is from RNAcentral.